This 718-nucleotide ribosomal RNA is filed under the name Hyphomicrobiales bacterium. RNAcentral describes it as "bacterial SSU rRNA". It matches the Rfam family "Bacterial small subunit ribosomal RNA", at positions 72 to 833 of the family's 1533-position model. The record is from RNAcentral. Lineage: Bacteria; Pseudomonadati; Pseudomonadota; Alphaproteobacteria; Hyphomicrobiales.
GGGCACUUCGGUGCUAGUGGCAGACGGGUGAGUAACACGUGGGAACGUACCUUUCGGUUCGGAAUAAUUCAGGGAAACUUGGACUAAUACCGGAUACGCCCUUCGGGGGAAAGAUUUAUCGCCGAAAGAUCGGCCCGCGUCUGAUUAGCUAGUUGGUGAGGUAAAGGCUCACCAAGGCGACGAUCAGUAGCUGGUCUGAGAGGAUGAUCAGCCACAUUGGGACUGAGACACGGCCCAAACUCCUACGGGAGGCAGCAGUGGGGAAUAUUGGACAAUGGGCGCAAGCCUGAUCCAGCCAUGCCGCGUGAGUGAUGAAGGCCUUAGGGUUGUAAAGCUCUUUUGUCCGGGAAGAUAAUGACUGUACCGGAAGAAUAAGCCCCGGCUAACUUCGUGCCAGCAGCCGCGGUAAUACGAAGGGGGCUAGCGUUGCUCGGAAUCACUGGGCGUAAAGGGCGCGUAGGCGGACUUUUAAGUCGGAGGUGAAAGCCCAGGGCUCAACCCUGGAAUUGCCUUCGAUACUGGGAGUCUUGAGUUCGGAAGAGGUUGGUGGAACUGCGAGUGUAGAGGUGAAAUUCGUAGAUAUUCGCAAGAACACCGGUGGCGAAGGCGGCCAACUGGUCCGAAACUGACGCUGAGGCGCGAAAGCGUGGGGAGCAAACAGGAUUAGAUACCCUGGUAGUCCACGCCGUAAACGUGAAUGCCAGCCGUUGGGGAGCUU